GGUGAUCCGCGUAUAUUUAAGCAGAGCACAUGUUGUUCAGCCAUUUUGUUGGUAGCUGUUUGAGAGUGCACACCUAUGACACAAAUCUCCAUUCACACUUCAUUUAUCCUUGGAAAAAGCAUUGUCUUUUUACACCGAUUCCAUUAAAUUGUACUUGGAUUAGUUCUGUCUUCAAGUCCUUUUUGGAGGAGUGUUAAGCUUGCUGCAUAGCUAUGUCUGUCUAUACACAUAGUGAGGGCAGUACAAGUGGGAUAAUUCAACAUUUUUAUCUCGGGCUGCGUCCCAACAUGUUGACUCUCGUCGGCGGAGACUCGAAGCUGAUGCCACAGCUGCGCUAGUGAAAAAUAAGAGAAAAUGGUUUUCCUUGAACGAAAUCCCGACACGCGGUGGACCAACUCCUGAGUGUGCGGUCCGACAUUUUCAGCUCUGUGCUGUUCCUCCUCAAAUACAUCAACGCUUUGUCCUUGCCAGCUAACCGGAGAGCCAUGUUAUUAAAGCUAAUUUCAUUAGUGUGAAGCUUCACAAUUCACAUGUAAACAAACUCGUUUGGCAUCCCGUGAAAUGCCUGCUUUACCAAGGGAUUUACACUUCGUUCUCAUUUUCAGCCAAGAUAGCUUUCCAGGGAUGCAUCACAAUAUCAUUUUUAAUGAGUACCUUUACAGAAAUGAUCAACAAACCAAGAACAUUGUUAAACUGACAAACUUUGAUGUUAGCUAGAGGAGCAACAUUGCAGCUAUAAUGAGCAAAUGAAACACAUUUUGAACUGUUUAACUCCUUUUAUCCCAAAUGCCUUUAUUACUGUUUACUACAGCUAAAAUAUCUGUCUGUAUUUAUUAAAUGCUAUUUCACUAUUUUGAAGUCGUGAGUCGUGUUUACACUGAAAGUUCCAAGAAUCUGGAUCAUGAAUUUAUUCAUCCUGAUCUAACGAGUGUGGAAUGUUGGACACUUCACUCGAUACUCACAGCUUUGCUUACGUUGCAAAAGAUGGGCGGGGCCAACAAGCGUUUACGUUUGCAAAAUUUCGAGAUGGCUGACGACACGGUGUACGGGACGUCUAACGGAUAUAAAUAUUAUCCCAUAUUUUUCAACAUUUUAAAUUCACCAUAUUUGGAUAACUAAAGCUAGC
Tachysurus fulvidraco (yellow catfish) is the source of this 1126-nucleotide long non-coding RNA. RefSeq lists it as uncharacterized. The transcript has 3 exons. NCBI's taxonomy places the organism in Eukaryota, Metazoa, Chordata, Actinopteri, Siluriformes, Bagridae. The record is from RefSeq and is a predicted model, not a curated record.